AGUGACCCCGGUCUAACCCCGGGAUGUUCAUAACCCUUUGUUGUCCGACUCUGUUGCCUCCGGGGCGACCCUGCCUUCGGGCGGGGGCUCCGGGUGGACACUUCAAACUCUUGCGUAACUUUGCAGUCUGAGUAAACUUAAUUAAUAAAUUAAAACUUUUAACAACGGAUCUCUUGGUUCUGGCAUCGAUGAAGAACGCAGCGAAAUGCUGAUAAGUAAUGUGAAUUGCAGAAUUCAGUGAAUCAUCGAAUCUUUGAACGCACAUUGCGCCCCCUGGUAUUCCGGGGGGCAUGCCUGUUCGAGCGUCAUUUCACCACUCAAGCCUCGCUUGGUAUUGGGCAACGCGGUCCGCCGCGUGCCUCAAAUCGACCGGCUGGGUCUUCUGUCCCCUAAGCGUUGUGGAAACUAUUCGCUAAAGGGUGUUCGGGAGGCUACGCCGUAAAACAACCCCAUUUCUAAGGUUGACCUCGGAUCAGGAGGG
Molecule: ribosomal RNA, 481 nt
Filed under: Cladosporium sp. Pr26
Lineage: Eukaryota; Fungi; Ascomycota; Dothideomycetes; Cladosporiales; Cladosporiaceae
Description: eukaryotic LSU rRNA
Rfam family: 5.8S ribosomal RNA (bases 154-308)
Source: RNAcentral